This is a long non-coding RNA of Diospyros lotus (date-plum), 931 nucleotides long. RefSeq lists it as uncharacterized. The transcript has 3 exons. Lineage: Eukaryota; Viridiplantae; Streptophyta; Magnoliopsida; Ericales; Ebenaceae. The record is from RefSeq and is a predicted model, not a curated record.
GCCAAAUUCGGCCAUAACAGCAAGCUGCGAGCAGCUAGAGAGAGAGAGAUCGAGAGAAGAGGGCUUGAGGAAGGGAGCUGGUGGUCUCGAUGGGCCGCAACCACGAGGCCUUAGUGACCAGUGAUGGUGGCAGGAAGCCAUGGCAGCUGGGCGAAGCGAGCAGCAAGCUGCGGCCAUGAUGGCUUGGUCGAAGGCAGAGCAGGGGACGGACAGCAGUGGUACAGUGCGACGACAAAGGCAGGUGCAGCUGUUGGCCAGGCCGAAAGCGGCUGGCUUGGCCGCGCAGCAAGCGGCCAUAGCCACGAGCUCUAGUGCACGGCCAUGGCAGCCGUUGCGAAGUUAGAGGCGCGAGGCAGGGGGCGGUCAGGGAGGUUGAUGAGGAUGAUCGCGACAGCCGGUGGAGCUGGGCUGUGAGCGCAUGGCAGAGGCCCUAUGCGCUAGAAGAAGAAGAAGGUGGGAGGAAGAAGAAAAGAAGAGAAGAAAAGAAAAAAAAGAAAAGAAAAGGAAAGAAAAGAAAGAAGAAAAAAAAUAGAGAAAAUAGAGGAAAAUGUUAGAAAAAUCCCAAAAAAUAGGAUUUGGAGAUUUAGUAAUAUUCCGAUGAUUUUGGUCAAGAAAAUUGUCCGGACACUCAUUUUGGGAAUAUGGCACGCAUACCGAGGAAGCUAGAGAGGCUAAGUCAAGAUGUUUUGCGGCUUAAGUUGAAGUGACUUAUGCGAAUUUUGAGGCUGGCACGCAAAUCGAGGUGAUGCACGUAUUUCGAGGCAAGACACAAAUAUCGAGGUAGGCUGAUAAGCUUGAGAAGGUCAAUGAGACAACAAAGACUCUAAAGGAAGCAACUGUUGUCCUGGAGUAUAUGAAUAAUUUUAUGACUAUAUAUAGUGUUUUGUUGUACAUUUUUGAAUAGUAGAUAUGAUUGUUAAAGUGUUACUCU